Molecule: ribosomal RNA, 472 nt
Filed under: uncultured bacterium
Lineage: Bacteria
Description: bacterial SSU rRNA
Rfam family: Bacterial small subunit ribosomal RNA
Source: RNAcentral
UGGGGAAUAUUGGACAAUGGGCGCAAGCCUGAUCCAGCCAUGCCGCGUGAGUGACGAAGGCCUUCGGGUUGUAAAGCUCUUUCGGCGGGGACGAAACGGUCCGUGACAACACCACGGACUAAUGACAGUACUCGCAGAAGAAGCACCGGCUAACUACGUGCCAGCAGCCGCGGUAAUACGUAGGGUGCAGGCGUUAAUCGGAAUUACUGGGCGUAAAGCGUGCGCAGGCGGCUCCUUAAGUCAGAUGUGAAAUCCCCGGGCUUAACCUGGGAACUGCGUUUGAAACUGAGGGGCUAGAGUGUGGAAGAGGGGGGUGGAAUUCCAGGUGUAGCAGUGAAAUGCGUAGAGAUCUGGAGGAACACCGAUGGCGAAGGCAGCCCCCUGGGCUAACACUGACGCUCAUGCACGAAAGCGUGGGGAGCAAACAGGAUUAGAUACCCGCGUAGUCCCUGAGCGGGCUGGCAAGGCGCAU